This 253-nucleotide ribosomal RNA is filed under the name uncultured bacterium. RNAcentral describes it as "partial 16S ribosomal RNA". It matches the Rfam family "Bacterial small subunit ribosomal RNA", at positions 524 to 776 of the family's 1533-position model. The record is from RNAcentral.
UACAGAGGUCUCAAGCGUUGUUCGGAUUCAUUGGGCGUAAAGGGUGCGUAGGUGGCGCCAUAAGUCGGGCGUGAAAUCUCGGGGCUUAACUCCGAAACUGCAUUCGAUACUGUGGUGCUUGAGGACUGGAGAGGAGACUGGAAUUCAUGGUGUAGCAGUGAAAUGCGUAGAGAUCAUGAGGAAGACCAGUGGCGAAGGCGGGUCUCUGGACAGUUCCUGACACUGAGGCACGAAGGCCAGGGGAGCAAACGGG